RNAcentral lists this ribosomal RNA (253 nucleotides) under uncultured bacterium. RNAcentral describes it as "partial 16S ribosomal RNA". It matches the Rfam family "Bacterial small subunit ribosomal RNA", at positions 524 to 776 of the family's 1533-position model. The record is from RNAcentral.
UACGUAGGGCGCAAGCGUUGUCCGGAAUUAUUGGGCGUAAAGAGCUCGUAGGCGGCCUGUUGCGUCCGCUGUGAAAUCCCGGGGCUCAACCCCGGGCCUGCAGUGGAUACGGGCUGGCUAGAGGCAGGCAGGGGAGAACGGAAUUCCUGGUGUAGCGGUGAAAUGCGCAGAUAUCAGGAGGAACACCGGUGGCGAAGGCGGUUCUCUGGGCAUGUCCUGACGCUGAGGAGCGAAAGUGUGGGGAGCGAACAGG